CCUACGGGAGGCUGCAGUGAGGAAUAUUGGUCAAUGGGCGUAAGCCUGACCCAGCCAAGUCGCGUGAGGGAUGAAGGUUCUAUGGUUCGUAAACCUCUUUUAUAAGGGAAUAAGGUGUCGGUGGUGUUCUAUUUUGUAUGUACCUUACGAACAAGGAUCGGCUCACUCCGUGCCAGCCGCCGCGGUAAUACGGAGGGUGCGAGCGUUAAUCGGAAUUACUGGGCGUAAAGUGCUCGUAGGCGGUAUGGCAAGUCAAGGGUGAAAUCCCCGCGCUCAACGUGGGAACUGCCUUUGAAACUGGCAAACUGGAGUGUGUGAGAGGAUAGUGGAAGUCCAGGUGUAGGAGUGAAAUCCGUAGAUAUCUGGAGGAACAUCAGUGGCGAAGGCGACUAUCUGGCACAUAACUGACGCUGAGGAGCGAAAGCGUGGGUAGCAAACAGGAUUAGAUACCCGAGUAGUC
This 460-nucleotide ribosomal RNA is filed under the name uncultured bacterium. Its description in RNAcentral is "partial 16S ribosomal RNA". It matches the Rfam family "Bacterial small subunit ribosomal RNA", at positions 338 to 795 of the family's 1533-position model. The record is from RNAcentral.